This 1031-nucleotide unclassified non-coding RNA is filed under the name Homo sapiens (human). Its description in RNAcentral is "chromosome 2 open reading frame 92 (ENSG00000291598.1)". The record is from RNAcentral. Lineage: Eukaryota; Metazoa; Chordata; Mammalia; Primates; Hominidae.
GGAAAUAGUGACACGUGAGUAACAAAAUGGGCGUAUCAAUUGGUCUAUGCUAUUUUUGGUGUUAUAAUUUUACCUAAUAUAAUAAGCAGCAACACUUUGUUAGUGAGACGGGCUUUCACCAUGUUGGCCAGGCUGGUCUGGAACUCCUGACCUCAGGUGAUCCGCCUGCCUCAGCCUUCCAAAGUGCUGGGAUUACAGGUGUGAGCCUCUGCGCCCGGCUGUGAUGUCUUGAUUGAUCAUAGGAUUUUUCUGGCUAUUCUAGCUACUUCCAAUUCGCUUCAGCCAAUUUAGUUGAAGUUUUAUCACUUGUGACUUCAGAGUCCUGGUUAAUAUCCUGUUGCCCUCAGGACAUGCAGGAUGGAGGAAGGCACCAGGGAGCCGAGGGAAGUGAGCAGAGAGGCAGUCACUUCAGGGCCACCAGCAUAGCCCCCGUCACUGUCCACAGACACAGGCCCUUCCCCUUCUCAUGGUUGAGCAGGCUCCACCUCACUUCCGUGUAUGACUUCAUAGACCGUUAGGUUCCGUGGUACCCUGGAGUCCACAGCUGCUGAAUCUGAAGGGCCAUCAGAAGACUGGCUUCUCCAUGAUGGUUUAUGGACUAAGGCAAAGAUGAGCAGAGCCAUGGCCCUCUUCUUUGUUCUCUGCUGGAUCCAAGAGUCGGGGGUCUCCCUAUGUUUCCCAGGCUGGCCUCGAACUCCUGACCUCAAGUGAUCCUCCCACCUCAGCCUCCCCGAGUGCUGGGAUUAAAGACGUGAGCCACGGCACCUGGCCUGAAUUUUCCUCAAAUUCAAAAAAUCCUGAUGAAGGUUUGGCUAAAAUCUUUGGUGAGUUACCCCACUCCCUGUGGAACCUCAGGCUGGAUUUGAAGAGUUGCGUGCAUGGUCCUCAUUGUCUCCCAGGUAACCUGUUCCCGCUGCUGUGAAGGGAAGGCAGGUGCUCUUCCUUGAGGCUAGAAUCUGUCUACGUGUCACAGUCUCAGGAAAUUAAGCAAAACAGAUGAUAAACACCUCAAAAGGACCCUACUGAGCAUC